UAGCAAGUCAGGGGUGAAAUCCCAGAGCUCAACUCUGGAACUGCCCUUGAAACUGCUUCGCUUGAAUCUUGGAGAGGUCAGUGGAAUUCCGAGUGUAGAGGUGAAAUUCGUAGAUAUUCGGAAGAACACCAGUGGCGAAGGCGACUGACUGGACAAGUAUUGACGCUGAGGUACGAAAGCGUGGGGAGCAAACAGG
Molecule: ribosomal RNA, 196 nt
Filed under: uncultured bacterium
Lineage: Bacteria
Description: partial 16S ribosomal RNA
Rfam family: Bacterial small subunit ribosomal RNA
Source: RNAcentral